AAAAACCAAACAUAACAUUAGGCCCAAAACAAAUUGGCCCGUAAAAGAGAAAAACUAAAGAAAUCAUUAAAGCCACCGCCCUUUUGCCCAAUCUUUAAUGGCGAUGUCAGUUACCAAGGGGAUCUUAUCUCUAAGGCUGUUGAUCUGUUUCAUUUUGAAAACUCUCCCCCUUCCUUCCUUCUCUUCAUUUUUUUCAAUCCGGCUCUUGUACACUCUCACUUCUCAUCAUGCCUUCUGCAUAGCUUGGGGUACUUUCAACCAAGUACAUCUCUUCUCUCCUCUUUAGCGAUUCUGUUGCUAAAAUGUGGGCUAGACCAUUCACUGAUCUCAGGAUAUAUUCAAAUCUGAACUUUCUGGCUCUGGACUUCAUCUCGUGAAUAUCAUGUAUGUAAGCCCCUAUUUGCGAUUUAUCUAGCUUUACAUCCUUGCAUUUCUUUACUAUCGAUAACGAAUCACCUUCUAUAAUAGUUUCUGGUCGUUGCAUUGCGAGACCAGUCUGGGCUGCCCUUCGACAAGCGAUAGCUUUCGCGAUGAAAGGAGAAGCCACCCCUCUAUGAAAUUCUGUACAAGAUAUGAAAACGUGGCCCUUGCUGUCUCUGACCACAAUCCCUGACGCCGAUUAGUGGUUCCUCUCGUCAUAAGCCCCGUCAAAAUUUAUUUUUACGACCUGCCCAGAUGGGUGAUUCCAUUUAACAUUAACCUUAGGCUCAUUAUAGGUAUUUUUACCAUCCCCAUCAAGUUCAUGUAAAAAAAUUUAAAUAUAUAUUGUUAUCUCCUGACCACAUCUAUUUGUGUUUUCAUGUAUCCGAGCGUUACGAUCUCCCCAAAUGGCCCAAAGUGCACACAAAAGAUUCUACACUGAUCUCGAGAGAGAAAAUCAAAAACUUUGGUGAGCCACUGCUCAAAUUCUAAGUUUCUCCACUGUAUAAAAUUAAAGACAAAUAAUGCUUCCCACACUGCCACUAACACAGAACAUUUUCGAAAUAGGUGGUCCAUUGUUUCUGGUUCCACACCACAUCGAGGGCAUGUUGAGUUAUUUGCUACUCUCCUAAGUAACAUAUUUGCCCGAGUACGUAGAAAGUUCCAGAUGAUUUUUCAGAUUGUAAUUUUAAUCUUAGUAGGUAGAUCUAUGCAGCGAGUUUUCUGUAAAAAUCCCUAUAGAUGUUUUGUACAUGGUAAGCUCUAGGAUCACCACUUUGUAAUAGUUUGUAGGAACACUCUGAACUGAAAACUCUCCCGAAGGUUCUCCAUUCCAAGCCAAAAAUUCUGUUUGAGGUUCUAUCACCAAGGGGAUAUGAAGGAUCAAUUCAGCAACAUCUUCUGGGAAGGUAUAAACUAUCAAUUCUCUAUUCCAGAUUCUUUCAUUAUUAUUGAUUAGCUCAACAACUGUAUCAAAUCACAAAUCAACAUUAAUAGUCGAUAAUCUUAAAUUCCUAUAAUCUGGAAUCCAUAUAUCAUUUCUAAUUGAAAUACUCGUACCCGUACCAACCUUCCAAAUAAGACCUUUCUCCAAUAAACCCUUAGCCGCCCAUAGACUACGCCAUGCAUAUGAACUCUGAUUCCCCAAACGCGAAUUAAGAAAAUCGUUUUCUGGAAAAUACUUUGCUUUUAAAACUUGCGCUACUAAUAAAUUUGAAUUAAGCAGAAGUCUCCAUCCUUGUUUUUCCAAAAGAGCUAUAUUGAACUGAGCCAUAUUUCUGAACCACAAUCCUCCUUCGUUUUUAGGUCGACACAAGUAUCUCCAUUGACACUAAUGAAUUCCUCUCUUCCCAAACCCUCUUUGCCAUCAAAACUUAUCAAAAAUGCUUUCAAACAUCCCGCAUAGAGAUUUAGGUAAAAGAAAACAAGACAUAGAAUAGGUUGGUAUAGCUUGUAAUACUGAUUUAAUAAAUACCUCAUUUCCCUCUUGAGACAACAGUUUGGUACUCCAGCCUUCCAUACGCACAGAUACUCUAUCUAAUAAAUUCUGAAAAGACUCUUUUUUCCUUCUGCCCACCACAUUAGGAAGUCUUAGAUACUUUUUGGGAGUUGUUGAUAUCCUUACUCCUAGCAAUGAAGACAUUUCCAUUUUUUAUCUUCUGUAGUAUUCGAGCUAUAAAAAAAAGUUCACACAUUGACCCGAACAACUUUCAUUUUCCUUGAGUAUGUCUUUCAAAACCAUCGCUCCUUUUUCUGUUGCUUCACCAAACAUCAUGCAAUCAUCUGCAAAUAAUAAAUGAGUUAUCUCUGGCCCUCUCCUCGCUUUUAUGCCCUUCAAUAGACCUUCAUUCUUUACAAUUCUCAAUAAUGAUGAGAGGCCCUAACUGCAUAUAAGAAAAAAGAAACAGACUCAGUGGGUUACCUUGUUGUAGUCCCCUAGUAGGUUGAAAAAGUCUACCCCUCCUAUUAAUAUUAAUCGCAUAAGAAGUUGUUGACAUACACCUCAUUAUGAGCCCCACCCAUUCGCUUGCAAACCCCAUUUUUAACUUCACUUCUUUUAUAAAAUUUUACUCAACUCUGUCAUAUGCCUUACUCAUGUCAAGUUUCAUCGCCAUAAGUCCUUUUUUCCUUAUACACUUUUGAUGGAAUGUGUGUAGAAUUUCAUAAGCUAAAAUCACAUUGUCUGAAAUAAGUCACCCUGGGACAAAAGCACUUUGUACCUUGUCGAUACAUCUGCCAAUGACCUCUUGCAAGCGGAUUGUUAUAGUUUUUACCACAAUUUUAUACAUGACUGUGCACAGACUAAUGGGCCUGAAAUUCACAAGUUUAGUGGGCCUUGGAAGUUUUGGGAUAAGAACAAUGUCUGUAUUAUUAAAUGAUGCAACCUCUUUAUUGUUAUUCAAAAUCCUCAAGCAAUAAUCAACGACAUUCUUCCCUACUAUAUGCCUGUACUUUUAAAAAAACAUUGUUGGAAAACCAUCCUAUCUAGGUGCUUUAGUGGGUCUUAUCCUUUUUAAUGUUGUUCAAAUCUCUUCUUCCCUGAAAGGAGAUGAUAAAACUUCAUUUGCCUCGUGAGAAAUGCUACCUUCAAUGCCUGUUAACAAAUAACUUGAAUCUCCAAUUGCCUUUGAUGUGAAGAGCUCUUGAAAAACCCAAGUGGCAUUCUCAUUUAUCCCUGACUCGUCCGUAAUUUCCCUCUUGUCAUCCAAUACCAACUUAGAAAUUGUGUUUUCUCUCCUUCGAGCUGAAGAACACUUGUGAAAACAGGCCGAAUUCUUAUCCGCAAAUUGGAGCCAAUUUACUCUGGCUCUUUGCUUCCAAUACAAUUUAUCUUUAUCAAUCUCCAUAUUGAGGUGAAUUUUCGUGUCAAUAAUCCGUGCCAAUGUUUCAUCAUCCCUUUCCUUUUCCAACCGACUUUCCAGCUCCUUGGUUAACUUCCAUUUUCCUUCUGAUUUUGCUUGCCUAUUUUUCUAAUCGAAAUUGUCGUCUUUCUAGCUUCUCAAUUAACAGUCCUAAACUAGACUCCCAAGAUUCCUUGAUUACUUGUUCGAUUGUCUCCUCCAUGGUCCACCAGGCCUUAAAAUGAAAUCUUGGACUUCUUUUGGCAAUAGUAUUACUUUCUGUAUUAAGGAGGAGGGAGCAGUGAUCUGAUGUUGAAUAAGGAAGAUGUUGAAUACUAACCAUUGGAAAUAAGGUUAUCCAUUUUUCAUUUACGACCCCUCUUUCAAACCUCUCCCUUAUGUUUAUUUCUGGCAUAUUUCCUCUUUCACAUGUGAACCAAACCCCCGAGUACCUAAUAUCUAUUAAUUGACACUUUUCCAAAACCUCCUUACUUGCCUCUAUCCUCUUCUGAUUUCUUUGUUCUCCACCAUUUUUCUCGAAAGAAUACAAAAUUUCGUUGAAAUCACCACCUACAAGCCAAUGAUGAUUAUGUUCUUGGCCUAAUCUUCUAAGCAGAUCCCAUGCAUUAUUCUUAUUUUUUAGAUAUGGUGAGCCAUAGAACCUCGUAAAUCUCCACUCUUCUUGGUUAUCGUUCUCUUUAAUUAGAAAAUCAAUAAGCAACUUCGAAAAUCUCUGCACAGCUGCCUUAACAUCACCCUUCUAUGCUAAACACAAUCCUCCUGAGUCCCCUCUACUUCUACUUCAAUUCCACUCAAAACCACAGCUCUUCCUAACCUUUUCCAUACAUUUUUUGUUUAAUUUCGUCUCCAUUAAAAAGGCCGUAUGGGGAUUAUGCUGCUUGAGUAAAUGUCGCAGCCUCCGUAUCGCUAGUGAACUCCCCAACCCACAGACAUUCCAACAUAAGUUUUUCAUUGUGUCUGGUCGGCUGACCUGUUAGUAGCCGCAGAUCCUAAAUUGCUUGGUACAACAUUUUGUUCUGGAUUUUCCGUCAUUGCACCCCUUUGAACCUCUCCUUGAUUCACCAUAUGUUCCACCUUUAACCUUUUUACUCCAUCUCCAUAUAACACUUCUGCAACGUUUCUGCCAUCAGCAACUAGAAAUUUCCUCUUCUCCCCCCCUCACACUUUUGCACCUCCGAUUGUCAGGUUGAUUCACUCGAAUUAACCUUUUCCAACUAGACUUCUUGGAUGCUACUGAGAAUUUACCCAUCUCCAUAUUACCAUCAUUCACCACGCCAAUCUCUGACUUAUUAAAAUCUGUCUCCUGUUCUUGUAACCCUUCCGACCAACUUGCCAAUUUUCUUCCACCUUUUACCUUUCUUUGCGAAGCUAUAGGUUCUGCCAUCAUGUCAGUAUCACCAAGUUCAUUUACCAAGUGACUUGUGUAAGAAACUUGAGUACCCAACAUUUUUACAUAAGCAUUUAAUUUCAUACUCUCUUUCCCUACCAAGGUUGAUUCGGCUUUCAUUGCUAUAGAGUAUGGCGGAUCAAUACUGACUUUAUUUUUUUCUGUAGGGCUUAACAUCAAGCAAUCAUUGAGACUAUGCCUUAUUCUACCACACCCAAAACAGAAUAUUGGUAAUUUCUCAUAUUUGAAAGAAAUCCACGAUUUAACACUGUUAUCACUUAAAACAAAAAUCCCUCUCCUAAGUGGUUUUUGCACAUCCAAGUUAACUCUAUGUCUACAAUUAACACCAUUAAUUUUAGACCUAAUUAUUCCUCUAAAAGUACCACCAAUAGCAUGCAUUAAAUACUUUCUAUCAAAUUCUAGUAAACACGUACUAAUUUUGAUCUAUAACGGUGAAGAAAUAAGACGAAUCUGAUCUCGCUCAAUCGCUUUGUUCAGACGAUCAAAUAAAAUAAUAUUCUUAUGAAAUAACCAGGGUCUUCCUUCCAUAACUGUCUCCAAAUCUUCUUCUAAAUCAAAAACAAUUAAGAAUAGAUUUUGUCCUACCAAUUGAAUCUCAAACUUUUUCUUUGUUUUCCAUAUUUUUUUCAUUUGUGCCCUAAAGCUUUCUGGAUUGAAAGACUUUUUUGUCCAAACUGAACAUAUCAAAGUCGGAUUGUCAUUUGGCACCACCUUUGAACUGUUUACUGAUAAUUGAAUGAGUUCAUUUGCUAGCAAGGAUAUCUCCUCACUACUCUCCCUCUUUUCGCCACCACCCUCCUUCAUCCCAAGCUGUAGUAGUUACCUCACUCUCUAGGACUCUAUGGAGAGCACUCUUGGUUUUCAAGGACAUAGUAUAUUCUUAGUUACGCUAUCUUGUAUAAUAUUCUGAUUAUGACUAUCAUGUUUGUAAAAAUAAAACCAAAACUAAAAAUAAUGUCCCAAAAAAAAUUAAAAUUCCAAAAAGUCCAAUAAAUCCAAAACAUACUAAACCAAUAAUGUGCAAAUCGAGCUCCAAAGUCAUCGUUCAAUCCUAAGCUUAAAGAUCUCCUGAAACGAAACAAAACAGAUGAGUGAGCUUUACGCUCAGUAUGUGGCUUGGCCCACAUAUAGUAUUUACUUAUAAAGUUUGCAGAUACAUAUAAUCAAAUUGAAAUUUUCAUAUCAUAUAACAUAUUAGAGCCAUAUCAUAUAACAUAUCAACGCACAUACUACCCUCCAUCUGUUAUACACCAACUUCAUUCAACCAAUCACACCAAUUAGGACUACAAUAGUCCAUCCAUCCAAUCACACCAAUAUGUGGCGGUAUGCCACUCAUAAAUAUGUAGUUGAGCUGCUUGACAAAAAUUACGGUUUAACUUCCAUAAUUGCAGCAAAAACUACCAAAUUACAUUUCUUCCAUCAAAACAUAACCCAUCCCAAUAUGUAUACAUAAACAUGAAAACAUACAUACGUAUCUCAUAAGUUGUAUGGCAUGCAUAUAUGUAUCUCAUAACUUGUAUGGCAUGCAUACCCCAAACAUACAUAUUUACAAAGCAUAUCAUAUCACAUUUUAUACAUAACUUACUUAACAUGCUUUCUAAGCUUACCCAUGAGAAAAUGUACCAAAUCAUACACUUUUCCUGGCCUACAAAAUGUCCAUUGAUCCAAUUUUUGAGUCCCUUAAUCGAACCCUAAUUAGGCCUUAAAAUUGGCCAAAAUUGCCCAUACGGCCUACCACACAGUCAUGUGGUGCACACGGUCAUGUGACCCUAGGCAGUUUCAAAAAUAUCCUCUAUUUUGUAAUUUUUUCGAGUUUCAGUCGAAGUUUUGGGUUAGUUUUACACACCUGACAAUAUUUUUUAUUAGCCACACAAACGAGAACUCACGAAUCCUACAAUCAUUCAUCAAAUUACAUCAAGUAACCAUCAAAGACCCAUCCAACGUCACAUUCCUUUAUCAAAAUUUCAGUCCCUAAAGUGAAGUUCGAGCACUUACCACUUGGAAAGCAACGUUCAAAACAAGAAUUACUCCGCUAGUGGGAUUUGAUUCUCACACCCUUUGCCAAAACAAAAGCACUUAACACUAUGUAAAAAGAAAACUAAACACCAAGAACUCCUAUCUUGUCCAAGAAUAGAUCCAAUCUAAAAUAACAGAAAAAUACUUAACAAACCUACACCAUGCUUGAACCACGAUCGAAGGAAAAAACUCACACACGAACAUGGAAAACAAAUGGAACAGCAACAAAAAAAAACAGUAGACAAGAAAUAACUUCUAAUGAUAGAAAGAAAAGGAGAAAAAAGAGAAUAGAGAGAAACCAAAAGAAAGAAAAAAAAAUGUGAAGGGAAAGGGGUUGGACUGUUGGGAGUGGGAGCAAACUUAGGGAUAGUUUUUUUUUAUAUAAUUCAAAAUAAGAUAAAAUUAAAUGAAAUAAAAUAUUUUAUCAAAAAUCCCAUCAUACAAAAUCCUAUCAGUUUUAUUUAGAAUUUGAAUAUAACCCAACUUCUAACACAUGGCAAGAAACAAAAGAAAAUUCUCAUGUUGCACACACAAAGACUCAAACACAAGGCCUAAGAGUAAACUAACACUAUACUACUGAACCAACAAGCUCAUCCUAUUAUAAUUUGCCCAGAAAUAAGGUUUAAGUCAAAUAAUCAAGGAUAAGAAUAGAACCAAAAAUUAACAAAAUUUUUAAAGAAAUGACUCAACCCCCAAAUCUUAUGCACACAAUCACAACCCUCAACCACUAAACCAAAUUAAAUUAUUUAAUAUAAUUUAGCAUUCCAAACUUAAGAAAAUUGGGGUGUUACAAUUUGACAUGUUCAUUUAUUAUUAAAUGAUAUUUGACACAUUUACUAUUAUUUGAUUUUAAUAAUAUUUGUACAAUUAUGAAUUUUUUUUAUCAUGAUAUUUUGAAAUAUUAUGUCCUAUGCAAUAAGGUAAUAAAGUAUGGGUUAGUAUUUUGUACUCUAACAAUGUAUUUUUUAAUUCCACAAGCAGUCCUAAAAGUUUAUCAUGUCUCUUUUUUAAAAUCUUUAUUUUUAAUAUUUUACUAUAGGACACUUGUCAACCCUUAACCUUAUUUGUGGAGUUUAAAAUAUUCACUGAUAAUGUACCAAAUAUUAUUUGUUAAAGUAUUGGUUCUUUGUAGAAGAAAAUUUGACUAAUGACAAAUCAUUUUAUUUAACUAUUUAACAUUUUACUAUUGAUUGUUUAUCACUUUUUUUUUGUUAUUUUUAAAAUGUUAUUUUAUACUCUUAAUUAUUAUCAAAGUUAGUUAACUUUUUAUUCUAAAUUAAACCAAUUCUUAUUCAAUUAGUAUAAAUAUAUUUUUUGAUAUUAUAAAAAUAUAUUAUUUAAUAAAUUAAAAAAUAAAUACCUAAAAUACAUUGAAAACUGAUAAAAUUAAAAAAACAAAACGCAAUUUAAUGAAAAUAGCAAGAUCGCAAAACAGAUUUUAUCUAAACCUAAUCCCAAUUUCAUCAUGAAAUUUUUAAUGGAAACCAGACCUAUCCUACCUCAUUCCAAAUUCCUAUGGGGUCAGGGUGGGGGAGAACUUGAUUAUUUAGGCUUUUGGUUGUUCCUUAAUCCGAUUUUGAGCGUGUACUAAAGUUAAUCGGGGAUGUUCAUCUUCAAUAUGUGUGAGAUGUCUUACUUGUAUGAAUAUCUCAACUAGGAGAAUUAAUGGUAUAAAACUAUGAUUUCACGUUAUUUCUAUUCAUUUCUAAUAGGAGAAUGACAAAUUAAAUUUUUUUAUCUAAAAUACUAAAAAUUAGGAGAAAAUUUUGAUUUUCUUUUCUCUUAUUAAGAAGAGAUAUAGAUAAUAUAAAAUUACAGUUUCAUACAAUCCUUUCUCAUGUGCUACCACAGACAAGAUAACACAGAAAUAACAAUGGGAAAAACUGGUUGACUUCCAAACCCAUGUAUUUAAGUCAAUUGGACACCACUUCUUUUUUUCUUUGGUUUGGUUAAUCUUUGAACAUUUCAAACAAAUAAGCUGUUUUAAACUUCGCUUUUAAAGUUUCAGAAUAACACGUUAAGAGUGCUAAAUUCAGGCCAUAAUUGGCGGAGCCAUUGACGUACCUUAGCCCUUAUAGCUGGCAUUUGUCUUUUUUUAUCAAUACAUCAGCGGUUGAGAUAUAUAUGAGAGUUUUAAUCACUGCUCCCAACACGAGCAUUUGAACCCGAAUUUAAUCUAGUUAGUCUAUUUGGCGAAGAUGACAUCCAAUAAAUCUGGGUUCAAAUUUAAGCAUUUAGCUGAGUUUGCACCAGGACCAUGGUCUGGCUGCAAAACUCUCAUGCAUUGCCGGGAAUAAAUCGAAAAACCCGAAACAGCAUUCAUCAUUUUCAUCCAUACUAACUAUCAAUCCGCACCGGCAACUACGAAUCCGAAGCAUAUAACUCGAAGAAGCUUGCUAUUUGCUGCUGCAAUCCCUUUUACAAGCACAUCUUUGUGUAUUCAUUUCAAAAAGUAACAUAAUAGUAAAUUGGAAUUGAAAACUUUAUAUUGAAUUAUCAUAUUAUUGAUACACAGAUUACUUGUAGAAGUAUACAAUAAACUCAACUCUUUUUUAUCUCUUAAUUCUAGCUUUAGUCCAUGGAAACCAAUCCAAACUCUGUAUAUGCACUAAAAAAAACAUUAUAAUUUGAAAAAAACUAGGUUGUCUCUUUGUUGUUGUUGUUUUUAACUUAUUUGUUCACCAAUCAAAUCCAAGCCAACUACUAGAAAAGUCAAGCCUUGAAACAACAAGAAAUAGAAAUGAACCCCAUGUGCAGACAAUAAGCUUCUUGCAGCAGCAGUGAGUAGAAGAAAAGCCAGUACCAGCUCUUUCCUAUAGAGUCGAUUUCUCUUCUUCAAAGGGGUGAUUUCUUCUUGUUUUUUGAGUUUAUUCAAUGUCUCCAACCCAGAUUCGGAGUGUCUCCUCGUGAUCUUUUCUUCAUUCAAUGAUUUCGAUUCCCUUUCAGCUAAGGCCACUAAGUCGGAUUCUGAAGAUCGACCUGUUUUCUUCGUUACUACCCAUUCGUAGGCGCUCCCGAGCUGGAAUAGUCCCGAGAUCAUGGCAUUAAAUUUGGUUACCGACAUUGUGUUUUCGAACAGAAGGUACGGGACUAAGAAAGGGAAGGAUUUCGGGGCCGGGAGGAUGUUUAGGAAUGACAUGAAAAUUGGGAUAUAACAGAUAACCCAAAGGGGAAGUUCAGCUUCAGGAAUGAACAUUGUUAAUGGAAGUAUGAUGCAGAACAAUGUGAAGGAGUAAAAUGGAAGUAUAAGCUUCCUUAGUAGGAAAAACAGGAAUAUCAAAUUGGCCUUCUUCGAUACCGAUAUCUGCAUGGAUCAAACACAAAUCAUUAUACUCAAUUGCAUGUGCAUUUUAAAGGAUUCAGAUCAUCAUAAAACAAAUCAAACCUUGGAUGUUACAAUUGCAGGAAGACAUAACCGAAACAACUGCAUCGGACCUGAAUGCCAUCGGUGCUGCUGUUUCUUGUAAGCUUCAUAAGACUCAGGCAACUCACAAAGCACUUUAACAUCAUUGAGGAAGAUGAAUUUCCAUCCAUUUAAGUGUGCUCGAACCGCGA
This 10260-nucleotide long non-coding RNA is filed under the name Gossypium barbadense (sea-island cotton). RNAcentral's name for it is "long non-coding RNA (GBAR_LNC007956)". The record is from RNAcentral. Lineage: Eukaryota; Viridiplantae; Streptophyta; Magnoliopsida; Malvales; Malvaceae.